UUGUGGUUAAAAGCUCGUAGUUGGAUCUCAACAGUCUUGAAGCGGUCAACUUUGUAGUUGUACUGCUUUGUAGACUGUGCUUUUGCUGGAGGUUUAGGGGUGCUCUUAAUCGAGUGUCUCUGGAUGCCAGCAGGUUUACUUUGAAAAAAUUAGAGUGCUCAAAGCAGGCUAAAAUGCCUGAAUAUUCGUGCAUGGAAUAAUAGAAUAGGAUGUCGAUCCUAUUUUGUUGGUUUUCGGGACUUGACAUAAUGAUUAAUAGGGACAGUCGGGGGCAUUUGUAUUCAAACGACAGAGGUGAAAUUCUUGGACCGUUUGAAGACGAACUACUGCGAAAGCAUUUGCCAAGAAUGUUUUCAUUAAUCAAGAACGAAAGUUAGAGGUUCGAAGGCGAUUAGAUACCGCCCUAGUUCUAACCAUAAACGAUGCCAGCUAGCGAUCUGCCGCUGUUUUUACUGUAGACUCGGCAGGAAGCUUCCGGGAAACCAAAGCAUUUGGGUUCCAGGGGAAGUAUGGUUGCAAAGCCGAAACUUAAAGGAAUUGACGGAAGGGCACCACCAGGAGUGGAGCCUGUGGCUUAAUUUGACUCAACACGGGAAAUCUCACCAGGCCCGGACACUGGAAGGAUUGACAGAUUGAUAGCUCUUUCUUGAUUCGGUGGGUGGUGGUGCAUGGCCGUUCUUAGUUGGUGGAGUGAUUUGUCUGGUUAAUUCCGAUAACGAACGAGACUCUGUCCUGCUAAAUAGUGUCUACUUCUCUUUUGAGUAGACAAUUCUUCUUAGAGGGACUGGCAACUCUUAGUUGCAC
This 804-nucleotide ribosomal RNA is filed under the name uncultured marine eukaryote. Its description in RNAcentral is "SSU rRNA". It matches the Rfam family "Eukaryotic small subunit ribosomal RNA", at positions 613 to 1439 of the family's 1831-position model. The record is from RNAcentral.